This is a long non-coding RNA of Apis cerana (Asiatic honeybee), 3874 nucleotides long. RefSeq lists it as uncharacterized. The record is from RefSeq and is a predicted model, not a curated record. NCBI's taxonomy places the organism in Eukaryota, Metazoa, Arthropoda, Insecta, Hymenoptera, Apidae.
AAUCGUCGGCAUGUUGACACGAAAAUGAUUUUCAGCGCCGCUAAAACGACACGACAUACCGAUUCCCGCUAACUCGAAUCGAACGAUUUGCUGCUAAUGCAUGCCAGGACAUCCGUGAUCUCGCAUACUCGUACCGGCCUGUAAUGUAUUCACCGGGACGAAUCUGUGUGUAUCGGUACGAUCGCCGUCUUCUGACAUCUCUUUUGAAUGUUAUUCUUUAGAAGGAAAGGGAACUUGGAUGGAAGAGCGAUUCGUAUUCGUCAGUGCGUACGGCAAGAUCGAGACAGGGCACGUUUCGAACUUGCAAUUACGAUAUCUCGGGAAUCUGGUGUGUCAUUAUUAAAGUUGAUAAAAAAGAGGGAAGAGAAAAAGAAAGAAAAGAGCUUGUUUGACGGGUUUCUAUAGAUACGAAAUAAUAUUCGUACGCUUUCGAAAUUCUUGUUCUCGACGCCAUAUUUAAAAAAAUUCAAACUAAACUAAACUUUCACAUUUAACAAUUUUCACACACACAUAUAUAUAUAUAUAUAAAAUUUCAUCAACUAAUAAAGCACUAUUGAAAUCAAUGAAUCGUGAGUUUGUCGAGACUUUUGUCGAAACGAAUUUUGUCGUUCGUAAAAAAGUGAAAAAUAUUAUAAAACGUAACAAGAUAUACAGGAAAAAUGAUGAAGAGAAGAAAACAAAAAUAGGAGAUAAAAAUAAAAAUGAUCCGGCAACAGUUAGUCGCGAAAACAUCGUGGUAAUUACCUGAUUUUGAGCAUUCUGUUCGGCCAUCGCCUUCUCCUUCGCUUGCCUCUUGCACUUGUAUCGAUGAUUUUGAAACCAUAUUUUUACCUGUAAUGUGAAAAAAUAAUUUUUCCUAUUAGAAUGAAAUUAUCAUUAAUAGGAUUACAAAAAGAAAGAUAAGCAAUAUAUUGUUUCUGAUAAAACGAUUUAUAAGCUAAUAAAUAUAUUCUUUUAAUUUUUAAAUUUAUAAACAAUUUAAGAGGAAAAAGAAUCGAAUUAUUGAAUUUAAAUCUAACUUUUUUUCCUUCUCUAGCAUCAGAAGCGGGAGCAUAUUUUUGGUGCGUGAAUUGUCGUCAGGUAGAAACUGAAAUAUUUUUUCAAAGGGACCAAGUCUUUUAUCAUGUGUCUACGUUUUAAGUAACCUAUGGAACUAUUCGUAGUCCCCUUUAAACCUAUAAUCCACAGUUAUUAUAAGUUUAUUAUUCCUCCUAAAAAAAAAUUUAAUGUCUUCUGUUCACUUUGCUAGAUAUUUUAAAGAACGAUUUCGUUGCAUUUUGCUAUUGAUUCUUUAUUAAUAAAUUUUAUAAUUUUAUUUUAUUAACAAUUCUUAUUUUUAUUUAUUUAACAAACUAUAUUGAAUAUAUUUAAAAUGAAGAAUAGAAAAAAAACUUUUCUAAUUAUUUGAUAAAAAGAAAAAAUAUUUUUUCUCUUAAAAACUUCAUGAACUUUAAUCCCAUUUAAAUCUUCAAUUCCAGAAUUAUCAAAUGGAUCCUAAAAUAGAUUUCCCGCAAUGAGAUCAUAAAGAAGUUUUACCGAUGGGAUUCCUUCCGUGUACGAUGUUAAAAGGAAAAAACACCGCAGUUUUAUGAAGUUCCGACCCAGAAGCAGCCGUGUUACGCUCGUGAAACCGCUUUUACGGCAAUUGAACGCGAUUAGGGAAGCCGGCCGUGCGGACGGGAUCGAAAUCGGCAUCUGCUUAUGACAGCGGCGCGUUAUAAUCCGUAUUGUGCAUUAUGCUGCGUUCAUAGGGGCGCGUCCUGAUCAUCAUGGUAUUGUCGUUGAGUCGCGAAAACAAUGCUUUCUGUCGGCCGAUUUAAUCCUUAACACGAUCUUGCCAAGAUAAUGCCGUCAGUGUUAAACAGUGUUAAACAUCGAGCUUAGAACAUUAUCGAGGUAGAUUUAUAAUGGCGCAAAUUGGAACGAGUGAAUGAAAUUCGGUUGAAUUCACGGAGGCAAGGAAAACAGAAGAUUGAACAAUUUUAAAAAUGAGGACAAAGGGGCAAAUUAGAGGCAUGUGUGAAAGGAUCAAGUAUCGCAUAUAUAAAUCGCUCGUAAUCAUGGAAGGUGCUUAAAAACAAGAGGAAGAAAAAGAAGGAGCAAAGGUUGCGAAGAAAAGCGCUUUGUAUCUGGCGAGUCCUUUCGCGCGACUUUCCGCGUAUGUUUUGUGGUGCGACUGAUGCGUAGGGCGGAGAGACCUUAUCUAAAAGCCACGAAGAGGUACUAGACGAGGGAAGUACUCUCUCGCCGCUCCCGUUCGUUAAUUCCUUUUCCACCGAUAAUCCACUCGUUGAAGCCGGUGGAGUUUCGGGUGUGCGGCGACUUCGAGAGGUCUACAAACAGCCUUGCUUGCCUCAACGCGUUCUUGCAUUCUCUACUUUCACGUGUCACCCAUUCCUUUUUGUCCUGAGCCUUCUUGCCCUCGCGAGCUGGACGAUGCAAUUGAAAUAUGAAUGUAUAUACCUCGUUGCUGUUCUCGCGUUUGUUGUUUGCAAUUUCUUUUUUAUCUUUAGUUUAUAACCAUAUAAAAAAUUUACAAAAGUUUCAGAAAAUAUUUAAGACGUUUAAUAAUUAAUGUUAAAAUAAUGAAAUAAGAGAUUUCAAAAAGAAAAUGAAAAAAAGGAUCUACGAAAAGAAUCAAAAGGCAGGAAUGGCAAAAGAUUCGACGAAAUGAAGGCAGGAUAUAAACUGACAAAGAGAAUUGUUAUUUCAAGGGAAUGGUCUGUCCGUCAGUCCGUUUGUCCGUUGCUCCCACAAUGGUGCGAUUACGCAUCAGUUAACCUCAAAACGAACAAAGUUAACAUACGAAUUUUCUCGAUGAAUUUUUCUUCCUUUCAUUCAUCGUAAAAGUGAAGAUCGGAUCUAUUGAUCACAACUUUAUUUCGUUUCGUGCAUAUUUAAACAUUCCAUUCAGAAUAUUUAUCGGUCUUUAAUCAACGAUUAUCCACCUGGACACACCGGCUCCGCCUGUGCACAUGCCAUCUAUCUCUUACUUUGACAUUAAUUAGUGUAUCGAAUAGCGAUAAAUUCAGAGAGCAGUUCAUCAAAGCGGAGGACACGCGACAUUUGGGAGGAACAUCGAGUACCUGUUUGGCUUAUGCUCGACAGAGGCCCGAGAUCGUACAUCCGUUCGAGCAGGGAGUAUGCGGUUAAAGUGGACGAUUGAUCAAGUUAGCGUAAUGUCAUUACGUCGCGUACAUUGAGGGUUCACGCAAAAUCACCACCACCAUCGUAAGCAACGGAGUAUUGGGCGUUACCACCCUUCGUAGGCCCGCCAACUGUUUCCUCGGGCAAUUUCACUCGACACCAACAUUCGACGGAUUAUCCAAUGGAAACCCCCAUGUAGCCGCGGGCUGCAGGAUAGUUCACGGAUUGUUCCGAUGUUGCUCGAAAGAAAGACGCGUGUAAUUGACGAGAAUUGCCACUCGAGGUGUUCCGAACCGUUUCUGAACGCAUCCGUUUGCCUCGGGCUACAUGGGUGAUUUUCUUCUGAUCUAUUGUUGUUGGAAAUGAUCUUGGUACUCUCUUUUCUUCUUUUAAAGUUGAAUUGAAAAAUUUGUAAAAAAAUUAUUCGUCUUUUGAUUUUUUAUUUUCGUCAUGGAAGAAAAGAAAAUUGUGUUGGAAAAGUGUUGAAAAAGAUUAAAGGAGAAAAUAUUUAUCCAAUAUUCUCUUUUUUAUCAAGUGAUAUAAUGAAAUAUAAAAAGUGGAAUUAUUUUAGAAUCUGGAUAAACUUUCCCAAUGGAAUCUUCUACCAACUUAACUCAAAUUAUAAUUAUUUGCAGAAGGAGUUGGCGGCGAGGAAAAGUCGCAGGAAAAAGGGAUUUGCAAAGCUUGAUUUUAAGUCACGGACGUGUUUCCAUCGCAAAGUGCAAGG